This is a non-coding RNA of Paramuricea clavata, 406 nucleotides long. NCBI's taxonomy places the organism in Eukaryota, Metazoa, Cnidaria, Anthozoa, Malacalcyonacea, Plexauridae. The record is from the annotation of a GenBank genome assembly.
CCUAUCCCCAACCCCAAACCCUUUUCUAACCCUAACCCCUAACCCUAACCUUUUGUGAGUUAGAAAAGUCGGAAAAAAAGUUUAAAAAAUUUUAAGAAAAAACAAUGCUAAGUCAGACAAAACACAUCCCGACCCCGACUGCGUUUAACUUUCCGCACACAGCGCCCUUGCCGUAUGAGCUAACGGCAAGCUCGGUAAAAGUUAAUGCAAACAAAAGUUUUUAUAUUCAACUAUAGUCACUAGACUGCCGGCCAUUUAGUAUUUGAUAAACCGUGAACGGCUGCCGGUCAUAUAGUCACUUUGAUAUAUUAAAUAUUAAAAACGACUGAUAAAUAAUCAUUCAUUGCAAGCACAACUGCUCCAGAAUCAAAACAAAUAACAGAAUAUAAGGAAAAUUAAAACCAGC